Molecule: ribosomal RNA, 253 nt
Filed under: uncultured bacterium
Lineage: Bacteria
Description: partial 16S ribosomal RNA
Rfam family: Bacterial small subunit ribosomal RNA
Source: RNAcentral
UACAGAGGGUGCAAGCGUUAAUCGGAAUUACUGGGCGUAAAGCGUGCGCAGGCGGUUUUGCAAGCCGGAUGUGAAAUCCCCGGGCUCAACCUGGGAAUGGCAUUCGGGACUGCAAGGCUGGAGUGCGGCAGAGGAGACUGGAAUUCCUGGUGUAGCAGUGAAAUGCGUAGAUAUCAGGAGGAAUACCGAUGGCGAAGGCAGGUCUCUGGGCUGACACUGACGCUCAUGCACGAAAGCGUGGGGAGCAAACAGG